Molecule: ribosomal RNA, 512 nt
Filed under: uncultured bacterium
Lineage: Bacteria
Description: bacterial SSU rRNA
Rfam family: Bacterial small subunit ribosomal RNA
Source: RNAcentral
UGGGGAAUAUUGCGCAAUGGGCGAAAGCCUGACGCAGCAACACCGCGUGAGGGAUGACGGCCUUCGGGUUGUAAACCUCUUUCAGCUCCGACGAAGCGAAAGUGACGGUAGGAGCAGAAGAAGCACCGGCUAACUACGUGCCAGCAGCCGCGGUAAUACGUAGGGUGCAAGCGUUGUCCGGAAUUAUUGGGCGUAAAGAGCUCGUAGGCGGUCCGUUGCGUCUGCCGUGAAAACCCGGAGCUCAACUCCGGGCCUGCGGUGGAUACGGGCGGACUAGAGUCCGGUAGGGGAGACUGGAAUUCCUGGUGUAGCGGUGGAAUGCGCAGAUAUCAGGAGGAACACCGGUGGCGAAGGCGGUCACCUGGGCCAGUACUGACGCUGAGGCGCGAAAGCGUGGGGAGCAAACAGGAUUAGAUACCCUGGUAGUCCACGCCGUAAACGAUGAGCACUCGGUGCCGCGGGUAUCGACCCCUGCGGUGCCUGAGCUAACGCAUUAAGUGCUCCGCCUGGGG